AACCUUGUUGUCAAUUUGUCCAAAUGCGUGUGCGUGUGUGUGACAUUCUUUUUCUUUUGCCAUAAAUAAAUCUCUCAGUGGACGACCUGGACUCAUCCAGAAAAUAUAAAUUUAAAUUUGGACUACAACUGUACUCGUACACUGACGAGUAUAAACCUCUCACCAAAAUAAAGAAAAAAAUAUAAAAGUUUUAAUGUGUUUUUAUUGUGUUUUAAUUGCAGGGUGAGAGUGCAGCCAAGGACCCAUCGACCUCUUUCUCUGGGCCUGAUCCUCCAUACACUCAAGCCAUGUCCAAAAGAGCCACACGAAUGUCCCGGUGUCCUCGUUGGAAAUUAUACCACAUCCAAACAGUGUCAACUAUUCGUGGUGAUUUACACUAACAAAUGGAACAAAGGGCAUGUCGUACUUAUUGGUCAGGUUAUACACUCAGCCAGAGCAAAUGCAAUCCAUAAUCAUGGGUUUGAUUUGGAUCAGGGCAUAUCAGGUGGUAUAGCUGCUUGAUCAAGUAUUUGUAGCAAAUGGCAGAAACCUUGUGCAUUAAGUAGAGGCUACUUGUGACUUAAAGAGACUUGAGUGGAAACUGAUACUGAAAUCAUUUUCAAUUUAGAUAUAUUUAAUUAAGAGAAUAGUUCUAGAUUUGAUACAGAUUAUACACCAUAUUUUUUAUUGUAUUAGUUUAAUUGGCCAAUUAGAAUGAUUAAUCAACUUGGCCCAGAAUAAUUUUUCAAGCAAGAAAAUCAUAUUGAUUGUUUAUC
This is a long non-coding RNA of Diospyros lotus (date-plum), 755 nucleotides long. RefSeq lists it as uncharacterized. The record is from RefSeq and is a predicted model, not a curated record. Lineage: Eukaryota; Viridiplantae; Streptophyta; Magnoliopsida; Ericales; Ebenaceae. The transcript has 3 exons.